RNAcentral lists this long non-coding RNA (391 nucleotides) under Felis catus (domestic cat). RNAcentral's name for it is "lncRNA (ENSFCAG00000052067.1)". The record is from RNAcentral. Lineage: Eukaryota; Metazoa; Chordata; Mammalia; Carnivora; Felidae.
UUAACUGACUGAACCACCCAGGCGCCCCUCUUUCUUUUCCUUCUUUUUUUUUUUUAAAGCAGACCUCACACCCAGCAUGGAGCCCAAAACGGGGCUCAAACUCACGAAGCUGAGAUCAACACCUGAGCUGAGAUCAAGAGUCAGAUGUUUAACCAACUGUGUCACCCAGACCCCCCGUUGUGUACAGCUAUCCUAAGGAGGGACAAACAGGAGGGCCCCAGGAUAAGGGAGCCAACAAGAGCUUCGAGCAGACUCCACAUGUAGUGUGGAGCCCGACUCUGUAUCACGACCCUGGGAUCAUCACCUGAGCCGAAAUCAAGAGUCAGACGCUCAACCUACUGAGCCACCAGGUACCCCUCUCCCCUCACUUGGUGUGGGUCUGACUGUGACC